Alligator mississippiensis (American alligator) is the source of this 4134-nucleotide long non-coding RNA. RefSeq lists it as uncharacterized. The transcript is spliced from 2 exons. The record is from RefSeq and is a predicted model, not a curated record. Lineage: Eukaryota; Metazoa; Chordata; Crocodylia; Alligatoridae.
CCCCCGCUCUUCAACCUCUCGGCGCCGCCAAAAAAAGUUUGGAGCGAUCUAUCACUUGGAUCUCAGGAUCUUGUCAGAUGGCAAUCGGCGGCGGGAGGGGGCCGGGAGCGGGGCGAGGACACCUCUUCCUCUCCAGCACAAACAACCUGGCCGGAGCCAACCAGGCGCAAACGCCCAGAUGCUUGGGAGGAGCGGGAGUAGUUUUAUUCCGCCAUCAGCUGCACCGCAACCACCACCGCCACCACUGCUAAUUAUUAGUAUUAAUCACGCCUUCAUUCAUUAAUAAGCCACCAGCCUGCGGAUCAGAUCUGGGCUUGGGAGCCCCCACCCUGUCGGGGGGGGGUAUAGAUAACACAGGACACCUCCCCGCUCCGGCUGUUGCAGAGUUUGAGGGGAGCACAUGACACUUUUUGCACCAGCUUUUCUGUCACAUCCAAGCCAGCCUGUCACCCUUGCAGCGCUGCCGUGGCUUAUUCCCCCACCCACUCGCGACCAUCAGUGCCUGGAAAGGCAGAGAGGUGGACGGGGGCUGUGUGUUGCAUUAUUGUGCAUGCCUGGAAUUAAGUGACAAACACACACACACACACACACACACACACACACACACACCCUCCACCCCCAGCUCGACUGCAGCUAUCAGCACUUGGAUAGGAAAAAAAAAAAAGCCCUUUGGAAAAGACUAAUGCCUGGUCUUCUAAUCUGUUUUAAUUACAGGCUUUGCCCAUCCAAGAGGGAACACGUUGAAAUGGGGAAGUCCUUUAGGGGCUGGCUGUGUUCGAGUAACUUUAAAUCAGGGGCAGCAAUGUCGGAGGCCUUUGUGCGAUGGAGUCACUAUUCUCGGACCGGCCUGGCGAGAGAAGUGGGAAGCCCCCGGGGGCCGGGGCCGGGAGCAGCGCGGCCGUGGCGGCGGGCGCGGUGCAGGCGGCGGGUCCGGGCUCCGGGCGGGGCCGCUGCGGCUGGUGCACGGGCCGGCGUGCCCCGCGCCCGCCGCCCAGGCAGACCCGGGCGAGGCUCCGCUUCACACGCUACUGUGCGGCCCGACGGGUCGGUCUGCGCUGCCCCCGCCUGGCGGCCGCGGGAACUGCGGCACCGCUCGCUGCCCGGCAGGCGCCGGAAAGCAGGAGCAGGGGGCUAGCUCGGGUCCUGCAAGGCACAGGGGAAGGGAGCUGCAGGGGGCAUAGCCCUGCUGCUGCCCCCGCUAAGGGCCCCCCCGAGCUCACCUGCUGCUCCUUUGUGGUCACUGCCGGCAGGGAUGAGCCAGGCCAGAAAGCUCCUGAGCCCUUUCCCAGCACCUCCCCAGGACUGCUGUUCCUCUCUGCCCAGCCUGGCAUCCCUCCACAUGGCACUGCCGCAGUCCUGCCCGCCGCCCUUCUCUGCACGGCUGAGACCAAAGAGGGAAGCCAAGUGACCAGCAAAGAAUAACAAUGGCCCACAGAUCUCCAGCUUCUUAGCCACCAGUGCCAUAGUGUGGGGGGCGAGUGGGGCAACCAUCCCAGGUGCCAAAGUGAAGGGGCGCCAACAGGCACUGCCGGGCAGGGCACAGGACAGAGCAGCGAGCAGUAUGUUUGGGGGUGCAUGGGAACAGGGGGAGGGUGGCUCCUGCUAUUGUGUAUGCCCCCCAGAUCUGUGCACAGGGCAAGGGCGGGCUGCCACUCCAGGCUUUGCUACGGUACUGUUAGCUGCAGACAGCCCGAGAGACCUCACCGCAUGGGAAGGCUCUGAAGUCCACCCAGCAGGACUGACCAUAGCUCCCUGCACACCACAGAGCUGGCCCACCACCAGAAACUAACUUCUGCUGAGCUCAGUCAGGUCUGGAUCACGCCCAAUUCCAGCCUCAGCACUGGGAGUUCUGCAGUGUCGGGGAGCACAGGACACUUGGGGGACACUUUAAGCUAAGCUAAGAAGGAAACAGACAAGGAACUUCCUUCAUCGCCAUCAGGACAGCUGCAAAGGCAAUGGACAGAAACUUGUCUUUACAAUGCAUAUGUUUGCGGGUAAAAAUGACGCACCUGGCAGCACGAGGGAACCCAGAAAGACUUGAAGCCUAUCUUGACAGGUGGUAUCUGAAGGAAUUUAGAUCCCAGAUGCUGCUCGUAAGCAACAAGGGAAAUUCACUGAAAAUGUUGUAAAGAAACAUAAUUCGGCAGACCUGCAGAUGUGUGGCCCAGUGAGAGGAAGAGUGAGAGAUCAUGCAAUCCUGAUUCUGUUUAUGCCAAUGGGAGGUUUGUCACUGACUUGAAAGGGAGCAGGAUGCCACCCUCAGUGAGGAGAGUCUUUGACAUCUGCCCUCUACAGAUAUGGUAGAAAGCCCCAAUACCUCUGUCCCCUUCCCCAGAGCCAGGAAGGGUAUCCCAUCCACCUCCAAGAGCCUAAACAGAAUCAAGGUGAUCAGGAAAAAGCCCUUUUACCACCCCAGAAACAAGUACUACAACAGCAACAAAAGUAAGGCACAGCUAAUACCGUCACACAGGAGUCCUUCGCAAAACUUCCAGCCUUUCUCCUUUAGCAAAAACCACCUGCACACUGCUGAGUGCUCUGUUUUUAUGUGCUGGAGAAGAUUCCCAGACUGCUCUGCUCUUAAAGGGCCAGUGCAAUGGAAACAGAAGAUUUUGGAGUAUCAACAUGAAGGCAAGUAGGAAGGAAGAAACAUGCAGCACCUUCAAGAAAAAACAAGCAAAUGUUCUGAAUGGAGCCAAAACAUUACACAAAUGGGAGUUAGUGAUACAGCAGUUGAAAGGAACAGAGUCUCGGUGGGGAAGUCAACACUAUGCCGGCUUCAUACUGAAGGGGAAAAUGGAAUAUAUCCUCACAUGGAAAUAAACCUGGAGGUGAGAAAGAAGGUGAAAGAAAAAUCUGAAAUAAAAAUAAUUUGAGAUAAACACCAAACAAAAGUAUGUUUCAGAAGUUAAAAAAUAAAGUAUGACCAACAUGCUGGAUGAAGCCUUCAGCUUCUCCUGAGUCAGGGAAGUCAUGAGAGAAGUUCUCCCCCUUUUGAAGCCAAGGGUUGUUUUGUCAUCGAUAUCAGCAAAGCUAGUAUUUUAUCCCAGGGAUGCUUUGCCUGACUAACAGCAAGGCCAGGUCCUAUGCUUUAAAAGAAAAGCAAGAGAAAAAGGCAAACAAUCAGUAAAGAAAUAGUCACUUCGUUCAUCAGAAGAAAGGGAAGAAACGUAACCUGUGCAGUAGCAUCACUGGAACAGCAGCAGAGGCAUGACCCCUCUGGUCACAUCUUCCGCUGAAGUCAGUGGAGUUUGAACAUUUGCUGAGCUCUGUCUAGACUUCCCUCCCCCAGGGUGCAGAAUCCAUGGUCAAACCGUGGGAUCUGUGCCUCUGGCCCUAUCCUAGGCAUUACAAGUGGGAAGCCUAGCAAAUGCUGAGGAGGAGAUCCCCAGCACUAGGGCUAUAAGUAAUCUUCCAUAUUCUUCAGGUGGGAUGUGGCCCAUCGGAGAAGAGGAACAGCAGCUCUAGAUAACCCCACCAUUUGUAAAGACAGUAUCUUUUGGGCAUAAUACCCCCAGUGAGGCCCUGCAGAAGAAAGGCUAAGGACUGACUCAGUCUGGGCUGUAAGAAACCUCCUCCAGGUGAUUCUGACCCUGAAAACUUUGCCACUAGCACUGCUCGCUUCUAAUGGAUCAGUAAGACACUAGCUUUGAUGCAGUUUCCUUUUGCUACAGCCACUCCCUAAAACAACCUUGUACAAAAAUGUGCAGGUUUGGGAACUGAUUCCUUUGAUUACUGAGCUUUUCAGGUAAGAUAGUAGUAUAAUGAAAUGCAAGAGAUUAUUAGGCAAAGAAGGGAGUCUUCAAGCCAAAAACUCUGGGCCCAAUUCUCUUGUCAAGAACAAAAAAUCUUCAAUGGGGGCAGGAUGGGACCCCUGCAGUCAAGACCGCUCUCAGUGCGCCGCUGGCAAUGCUCCAUUUGCAUUCAUCUGGACUAUCAUUACAAGACAAACAGAUUUAUUCUGCUUUUCUUGCUAAGGAGCCAUAAUGUCAAACCACCACAUUUCAGCAUUUAUAAAACCAGCAAACCUAUUUUUUUCUUUAAAAUGUAAGGAACAUGUUCAUAUUUCACUCCUAUUUCACUCCAGUACAAAAGCACGGGGUCAAAAUUAAUGAGUAAAGUAUUUGUGUGACGUUU